Molecule: ribosomal RNA, 251 nt
Filed under: uncultured prokaryote
Description: partial 16S rRNA
Rfam family: Bacterial small subunit ribosomal RNA
Source: RNAcentral
ACGGAGGAUGCAAGCGUUAUCCGGAUUUAUUGGGUUUAAAGGGUGCGUAGGCGGAUUAAUAAGUCAGUGGUGAAAGGCUGCAGCUUAACUGUAGACUUGCCAUUGAUACUGUUUAUCUUGAGUAUGGUUAAGACAGGCGGAAUGUGUAAUGUAGCGGUGAAAUGCUUAGAUAUGACACAGAACACCGAUCGCGAAGGCAGCUUACCAAGCAAUAACUGACGCUCAUGCACGAAAGCGUGGGGAGCAAACAG